Molecule: ribosomal RNA, 1896 nt
Filed under: Escherichia coli 5-366-08_S4_C2
Lineage: Bacteria; Pseudomonadati; Pseudomonadota; Gammaproteobacteria; Enterobacterales; Enterobacteriaceae
Description: bacterial LSU rRNA
Rfam family: Bacterial large subunit ribosomal RNA
Source: RNAcentral
CAAAGUCAUGGUUAAGUGGGAAACGAUGUGGGAAGGCCCAGACAGCCAGGAUGUUGGCUUAGAAGCAGCCAUCAUUUAAAGAAAGCGUAAUAGCUCACUGGUCGAGUCGGCCUGCGCGGAAGAUGUAACGGGGCUAAACCAUGCACCGAAGCUGCGGCAGCGACACUAUGUGUUGUUGGGUAGGGGAGCGUUCUGUAAGCCUGUGAAGGUGUGCUGUGAGGCAUGCUGGAGGUAUCAGAAGUGCGAAUGCUGACAUAAGUAACGAUAAAGCGGGUGAAAAGCCCGCUCGCCGGAAGACCAAGGGUUCCUGUCCAACGUUAAUCGGGGCAGGGUGAGUCGACCCCUAAGGCGAGGCCGAAAGGCGUAGUCGAUGGGAAACAGGUUAAUAUUCCUGUACUUGGUGUUACUGCGAAGGGGGGACGGAGAAGGCUAUGUUGGCCGGGCGACGGUUGUCCCGGUUUAAGCGUGUAGGCUGGUUUUCCAGGCAAAUCCGGAAAAUCAAGGCUGAGGCGUGAUGACGAGGCACUACGGUGCUGAAGCAACAAAUGCCCUGCUUCCAGGAAAAGCCUCUAAGCAUCAGGUAACAUCAAAUCGUACCCCAAACCGACACAGGUGGUCAGGUAGAGAAUACCAAGGCGCUUGAGAGAACUCGGGUGAAGGAACUAGGCAAAAUGGUGCCGUAACUUCGGGAGAAGGCACGCUGAUAUGUAGGUGAAGCGACUUGCUCGUGGAGCUGAAAUCAGUCGAAGAUACCAGCUGGCUGCAACUGUUUAUUAAAAACACAGCACUGUGCAAACACGAAAGUGGACGUAUACGGUGUGACGCCUGCCCGGUGCCGGAAGGUUAAUUGAUGGGGUUAGCGCAAGCGAAGCUCUUGAUCGAAGCCCCGGUAAACGGCGGCCGUAACUAUAACGGUCCUAAGGUAGCGAAAUUCCUUGUCGGGUAAGUUCCGACCUGCACGAAUGGCGUAAUGAUGGCCAGGCUGUCUCCACCCGAGACUCAGUGAAAUUGAACUCGCUGUGAAGAUGCAGUGUACCCGCGGCAAGACGGAAAGACCCCGUGAACCUUUACUAUAGCUUGACACUGAACAUUGAGCCUUGAUGUGUAGGAUAGGUGGGAGGCUUUGAAGUGUGGACGCCAGUCUGCAUGGAGCCGACCUUGAAAUACCACCCUUUAAUGUUUGAUGUUCUAACGUUGACCCGUAAUCCGGGUUGCGGACAGUGUCUGGUGGGUAGUUUGACUGGGGCGGUCUCCUCCUAAAGAGUAACGGAGGAGCACGAAGGUUGGCUAAUCCUGGUCGGACAUCAGGAGGUUAGUGCAAUGGCAUAAGCCAGCUUGACUGCGAGCGUGACGGCGCGAGCAGGUGCGAAAGCAGGUCAUAGUGAUCCGGUGGUUCUGAAUGGAAGGGCCAUCGCUCAACGGAUAAAAGGUACUCCGGGGAUAACAGGCUGAUACCGCCCAAGAGUUCAUAUCGACGGCGGUGUUUGGCACCUCGAUGUCGGCUCAUCACAUCCUGGGGCUGAAGUAGGUCCCAAGGGUAUGGCUGUUCGCCAUUUAAAGUGGUACGCGAGCUGGGUUUAGAACGUCGUGAGACAGUUCGGUCCCUAUCUGCCGUGGGCGCUGGAGAACUGAGGGGGGCUGCUCCUAGUACGAGAGGACCGGAGUGGACGUAUCACUGGUGUUCGGGUUGUCAUGCCAAUGGCACUGCCCGGUAGCUAAAUGCGGAAGAGAUAAGUGCUGAAAGCAUCUAAGCACGAAACUUGCCCCGAGAUGAGUUCUCCCUGACUCCUUGAGAGUCCUGAAGGAACGUUGAAGACGACGACGUUGAUAGGCCGGGUGUGUAAGCGCAGCGAUGCGUUGAGCUAACCGGUACUAAUGAACCGUGAGGCUUAACCU